RNAcentral lists this transfer RNA (81 nucleotides) under Catenuloplanes nepalensis. Its description in RNAcentral is "tRNA-Tyr". It matches the Rfam family "tRNA". From Rfam's summary of the family: Transfer RNA (tRNA) molecules are approximately 80 nucleotides in length. Their secondary structure includes four short double-helical elements and three loops (D, anti-codon, and T loops). The record is from RNAcentral. Lineage: Bacteria; Bacillati; Actinomycetota; Actinomycetes; Micromonosporales; Micromonosporaceae.
GCGGGUGCGCCGACGCUGGAGAGUCGGGGGCGGCUGUAAACCGUCCGCAUCGCUGAGCAGGUUCGAAUCCUGUCACCCGCA